UGGUGGAGUGAUUUGUCUGGUUAAUUCCGUUAACGAACGAGACUUUAACCUGCUAAAUAGACACUCGAGCUUAGGCUCUUGCUGCGCUUCUUAGAGGGACUUUGCGUGUUUAACGCAAGGAAGUUUAAGGCAAUAACA
RNAcentral lists this ribosomal RNA (138 nucleotides) under uncultured eukaryote. Its description in RNAcentral is "partial 18S ribosomal RNA". It matches the Rfam family "Eukaryotic small subunit ribosomal RNA", at positions 1299 to 1458 of the family's 1831-position model. The record is from RNAcentral.